GCCCUAGUAGCUACAGCCGGUAGAGCGCGGCCAUGGUAAGGCCGAGGUCCUGGGUUCGAUCCCCAGCUAGGGCU
Molecule: transfer RNA, 74 nt
Filed under: Candidatus Pacearchaeota archaeon
Lineage: Archaea; Nanobdellati
Description: tRNA-Thr
Rfam family: tRNA
About the family: Transfer RNA (tRNA) molecules are approximately 80 nucleotides in length. Their secondary structure includes four short double-helical elements and three loops (D, anti-codon, and T loops).
Source: RNAcentral